This 313-nucleotide unclassified non-coding RNA is filed under the name Herpotrichiellaceae sp. Its description in RNAcentral is "partial contains 5.8S ribosomal RNA, internal transcribed spacer 2, and large subunit ribosomal RNA". The stretch from base 1 to 71 matches the Rfam family "5.8S ribosomal RNA", at positions 84 to 154 of the family's 154-position model. Lineage: Eukaryota; Fungi; Ascomycota; Eurotiomycetes; Chaetothyriales; Herpotrichiellaceae. The record is from RNAcentral.
GUGAGUCAUCGAAUCUUUGAACGCACAUUGCGCCCUUUGGUAUUCCGAAGGGCAUGCCUGUUCGAGCGUCAUUAUCAACCCUCAAGCCCUCGGCUUGGUGUUGGGACGGCCGGUCUCCGCCCGCGGAGACCCCCCCCAAAGUGAACGACGGCGGCCUGUUAACCCCCGGUACAUGGAGCUUGGUCACGAGCACGUAUCGGUCUUUAAGUGGUGAAUAGGCCCUCGGUCUCCUCCCCCUCGGGGAACUCUUCAAGGUUGACCUCGGAUCAGGUAGGGAUACCCGCUGAACUUAAGCAUAUCAAUAAGCGGAGGA